UAACUUUGCCUUUCUCUAACCCAGGUGCCACUCAUAAUAAAGGCCACAGCCUUGGAAUCAGCAUGAAGCUGGAGCCUGAAAGAGCCAGGCACACUCAGGAGAGGGCAAGUAGCUGAUUUGCCAGGAUUUGGCCCACAUAACUCUGUACUCAUGCAUUGGUUUUGUCUUUUUUUUCUUGUAGCUGACUGAGUGGCUAACAGGCCAUCACAGGGCCCUCUGAGGCAGACUCAUUUCAGAUGCUACGUGGAUCCACAUCACCAAUCAUCCAAAAGAUAAGUUGGGGGCCACAGCCUGGAGAUGGGAUGAUGGGAGAGUAGCAGGUUGGGAGUUCUUGGGACAGAUUUAAAAAUUAGCAGAGGGAAAAGCAAUCUUCUCCAAGGGGCCUCUUAGGACAGCUAAAGGGAAAGGCUCUACUUUUGAUGGCAGCUUUCAGGCAGGCAGCGCAGAACAGCUCCAUGGUGUGUUGUCCAGUGUACUGUGUUACCUAGUGUGUCUUUGGGUUCCCUUUUGCCUUUUCCCCUUGAGACCUUCACCACAAGCAUAAUGCGUCGUGUUCAGCAUCCCCCUGUUUGUCACAUUCUGUGUCACGGGUGUCUGCACUUGUUUGCACCGGAGUUGUUCUGCCCUGCCGCACAGCCUGCUGCAAUGGGACAAGUCCCGGGGACUCGCAGUUUGUGGGGUGUCACCAGCCUGUAGAUGAUAUUCCUAGAUAGGCAGAAGAUGUUUGGAGCUGUGAAGUUAUCCUGCAGCCCUUUGACUUUUGUCCUCAUUUUCUUUCAGAUGCAGGGGAUAAAAUCCAGGGCAAAAUCCAUCCACCCAUCCUGGGUUAGGAGGUCCCCCUGAGCAGGAGGGAAAUCUGGAUACCAGCAGUCAAGGCAAUCCACUCGGAGUAUGCCGAGCCCCCGUCACCGACCGGCCGACGCCGAGUUUCCUGCUCUCGGGAGCCCCGUGGAUGUUUUACAGGACCUGGUGGUGAAGCCCUG
This is a long non-coding RNA of Camarhynchus parvulus, 983 nucleotides long. RefSeq lists it as uncharacterized. NCBI's taxonomy places the organism in Eukaryota, Metazoa, Chordata, Aves, Passeriformes, Thraupidae. The transcript is spliced from 3 exons. The record is from RefSeq and is a predicted model, not a curated record.